AACAAUCUAGCUAAUGUGUUAUAAUUAGUUAAUAAUGUAUAUAUUUAUGCAUGGUACUUUAAGAGUUUAAUUAGGACGUCACUAGUUCAGUACACAUAUAACUCAAAGAUAGUUUUUUUUUAUUUUUCCUUUCAAAAUCAAUUUUAUCAGAGAUUGAUACGUGGAAACAAAUUUAAUGGUCUGAUUUCUUCAUAUAUCUUUUAUAUUUGUGAGAAGCUUAUCAUAUUACUAAGGCCAAGGUGCAUAUACA
RNAcentral lists this long non-coding RNA (250 nucleotides) under Capsella rubella. Its description in RNAcentral is "long non-coding RNA (CRUB_LNC004433)". Lineage: Eukaryota; Viridiplantae; Streptophyta; Magnoliopsida; Brassicales; Brassicaceae. The record is from RNAcentral.